RNAcentral lists this ribosomal RNA (466 nucleotides) under uncultured bacterium. RNAcentral's name for it is "bacterial SSU rRNA". It matches the Rfam family "Bacterial small subunit ribosomal RNA", at positions 339 to 797 of the family's 1533-position model. The record is from RNAcentral.
GUACGGGAGGCAGCAGUGGGGAAUUUUGGACAAUGGGCGAAAGCCUGAUCCAGCCAUGCCGCGUGAGUGAAGAAGGCCUUCGGGUUGUAAAGCUCUUUCGGACAGAAAGAAAUCGCAUCGGCUAAUACUCGAUGUGGAUGACGGUACUGUCAUAAGAAGCACCGGCUAACUACGUGCCAGCAGCCGCGGUAAUACGUAGGGUGCGAGCGUUAAUCGGAAUUACUGGGCGUAAAGCGUGCGCAGGCCGUUUUGCAAGACAGGCGUGAAAUCCCCGGGCUCAACCUGGGAACUGCGUUUGUGACUGCAAGACUAGAGUACGGCAGAGGGGAGUAGAAUUCCACGUGUAGCAGUGAAAUGCGUAGAGAUGUGGAGGAAUACCGAUGGCGAAGGCAGCCCCCUGGGCCAGUACUGACGCUCAUGCACGAAAGCGUGGGGAGCAAACAGGAUUAGAUACCCUAGUAGUCCG